Long non-coding RNA from Sapajus apella (tufted capuchin), 93 nucleotides. RefSeq lists it as uncharacterized. NCBI's taxonomy places the organism in Eukaryota, Metazoa, Chordata, Mammalia, Primates, Cebidae. The transcript has 3 exons. The record is from RefSeq and is a predicted model, not a curated record.
CCAUCAAUGUUCAGGGAUAAGAAUGCCUUGUGAAACAAUAAUUACAUUAAUCUAAAUUGGUGUACCCCAAAACUGUUGCAUCCCAAAACUGUU